This 73-nucleotide transfer RNA is filed under the name Caerostris extrusa. Its description in RNAcentral is "tRNA-Lys". It matches the Rfam family "tRNA". From Rfam's summary of the family: Transfer RNA (tRNA) molecules are approximately 80 nucleotides in length. Lineage: Eukaryota; Metazoa; Arthropoda; Arachnida; Araneae; Araneidae. The record is from RNAcentral.
UCCAUGGUGGCGUAACUGGUUAGCGCGCGGUACUUUUAAUACCGAGGUUGUGAGUUCGAUCUCACAUGGGGAA